GACGAACGUUGGCGGCGUGCUUAAUACAUGCAAGUCAACUGAAGCAGUGGUAGCAAUAUCGCUGUGGAGGUGGCGCACGGGUGAGUAACACGUAGGUAAUCUGCCUUCAGGUCUGGCAUAACUCCGGGAAACCGGGGCUAAUAGCAGAUGAUGCAGCGGCUCGACAUCGAGACAGUUGUUAAAGCUAUGGCGCCUGAAGAUGAGCCUGCGUCUGAUUAGCUAGUUGGCGGGGUAACGGCCCACCAAGGCAACGAUCAGUAGCUGGUCUGAGAGGAUGAUCAGCCACACUGGAACUGAGACACGGUCCAGACUCCUACGGGAGGCAGAAGUAAGGAAUAUUGCUCAAUGGGAGAAAUCCUGAAGCAGCAACGCCGCGUGAGGGACGAAGGGCUUUGGCUUGUAAACCUCUGUAGUGAGAGAAAAAAAUCCCAAUCUUUGGGACAUGAUGGUAUCUCAAAAGUAAGCCCCGGCUAACUACGUG
Molecule: ribosomal RNA, 481 nt
Filed under: uncultured bacterium
Lineage: Bacteria
Description: partial 16S ribosomal RNA
Rfam family: Bacterial small subunit ribosomal RNA
Source: RNAcentral